ACCUGUUAACAGAGCUAUCAUUUAACGUCGUGUUGUUGUAGACGCAGUCUUGUAACACCAUUAAGUGUGCCAGGAAAACAAAUAUCGCCCUGUAACCUCCAGUUACCUGCGCUUGGUUCAGCCUCUUCAGACGAAGUCAAUCUCCCAAGGGGCAUAGUCGAUUGGUUGCUUCCAAAAAGCCUCCUGAUGAUCUGCUUUACAGGCAUUGACACUUCUUUGGUCCUCAUAUUGAGAUAAGUGCUGUUUAUCAGUAAGCUGACCAAACUGAGGUUUCUCACCACACCCCUGAACUAAAGGGGACCAGGGACAAUGCCCAAGACAAAGCCCUUUGUGUGAAUGUUUCAGGUCCCUAUUGUCUCCCCCUGGCUUGGGAGCAAAUCCCUUGAAAUUUAAAUUCUUCAGAAAAUAAAAAGCCCAUCCCACCCUG
Long non-coding RNA from Anguilla rostrata (American eel), 427 nucleotides. RefSeq lists it as uncharacterized. The record is from RefSeq and is a predicted model, not a curated record. NCBI's taxonomy places the organism in Eukaryota, Metazoa, Chordata, Actinopteri, Anguilliformes, Anguillidae. The transcript has 4 exons.